UGGAAGCUCCUGUCUGUGAAGGGUGUGCACAGAGAGCUUCGGUAGCCUGCGAAGCAGCCAUUUUCACUUCCACGGAGCAGAUGCUGGCCUGGGUGCUGGAAUAUGGAAAUGAGGAAGAUCCUGCCUGAGGAUUUCAUGACAGUGCUGCGAUUACCGACGUGAGCCACUGUGCCCAGCCUCACUUUAAAAAAAAAAAAAGGUUAUGAAGCAUCUCAACACAAGACCUCCUUUGCUCAUCACAACCACCCAGUGAAGCAGGCAAGACAACAGAAACUCCCCACCUGUGAUAGAUGUGAGGCCUGAAGUCUCCCACAUACCCACGGCAGAUGCAACGCACAGCGGUGACCAAUGGUGAAGGAUCUAAAACCUGAAAAGAGGCCAAAUGAUUCCUCAAAACCACGCAAGUACGAAGUAGCAGAGCGGAUCUCAAAUCCAGAGCACUGCGUGUUUUGAAAUAUACAAAUAGUGGGAAACGAAAUCUUUGUUCUGGAUGCAGUUAUAAUUUGGAAAGCGAGGAAAUAAAUUAUAACAAGGGGAAAAAACAGACACAGAGGGAUUGAAAUGCAUAACAAUAGAGAUGAAACACGAAGAGUGAUAAAUGAAGAUUGAGUGUGCACACCUUCUGGAGGAGCCCUGAUUGAGUAUUUUAAAAUACUACUAAAGUCAUGCCGUGUGACUUCUGAAGCUAGCUCCUAAGAAGUCCUUGCAGCUUCUGCCUGCGACUCUUAGAACACUUGCUUUGAAGGAUGCCAGAUGCUGUCUUAAAAGUCUGAGCACUCUGAAACCAUCAUGCUGUGAGGAAGCCCAAGCUAACCACAUGGGCAAAAAAGAUGCCCUCUGACUGCCACCAUUUGAGACACUCUAAUUAAGAACUGCCUCAUUGAGCCCAUGAGGCCCUGUGAAUGAUAAUAAUAAAUUGUUUUUAACCACUAUGUUUUUGGAUUUGUUAUAAGUUUAUAGAUAACAAGAAAAAGUUAUAUUAGCAUGGUAAUAAAAUUAUGGAUAUGU
RNAcentral lists this long non-coding RNA (1008 nucleotides) under Homo sapiens (human). RNAcentral describes it as "HSALNT0349614". Lineage: Eukaryota; Metazoa; Chordata; Mammalia; Primates; Hominidae. The record is from RNAcentral.